Rhodamnia argentea is the source of this 184-nucleotide long non-coding RNA. RefSeq lists it as uncharacterized. The transcript is spliced from 2 exons. The record is from RefSeq and is a predicted model, not a curated record. Lineage: Eukaryota; Viridiplantae; Streptophyta; Magnoliopsida; Myrtales; Myrtaceae.
AUAAAUUAUGUUGUUGUAAAAGGUAAAGCCUAAUUCGUUAGAUUUGCACAGCAGGUGGCCAGCUUCUUCAAGUUCAUUAUAUCUCAAGAGCCCUGCAUAAGCUUUUAAAGUCUCAAGGAGAGGUUGGCAUGGUUAAGUUGCUCACCAAAUUAAUCUUUCAUUGGAAAUAUCUGGUCUUGUCAAC